GAUGAACGCUGGCGGCGUGCCUAACACAUGCAAGUCGAGCGAACAGACGAGGAGUUUGCUCCUCUGACGUUAGCGGCGGACGGGUGAUUCACACGUGGAUAACCUACCUAUCAGACUGGGGUAACUACGCGAAACCGGAUCUAAUACCGGAUAAUAUAUUGAACCUCGUGGUUCAUUAGUGAAAGUCGGUUUUGCUGUCACUUAUAGAUGGAUACGCGCCGCAUUAGCUAGUUGGUAAGGUAACGGCUUACCAAGGCUACGAUGCGUAGCCGACCUGAGAGGGUGAUCGGCCACACUGGAACUGAGACACGGUCCAGACUCCUACGGGGGGCAGCAGUAGGGAAUCUUCCGCGAUGGGCGAAAGCCUGACGUAGCAACGCCGCGUGAGUGAUGAAGGUCUUCGGAUCGUAAAGCUCUGUAAGUAGGGAGGAACAAAUGUUUAAGUAACUGUGCACGUAUUGACGGUACCGAAACAAAAAGCCACGGCUAACUACGUG
RNAcentral lists this ribosomal RNA (497 nucleotides) under uncultured bacterium. RNAcentral's name for it is "partial 16S ribosomal RNA". It matches the Rfam family "Bacterial small subunit ribosomal RNA", at positions 28 to 507 of the family's 1533-position model. The record is from RNAcentral.